GAUGAAGAACGCAGCGAAAUGCGAUAAGUAGUGUGAAUUGCAGAAUUCAGUGAAUCAUCGAAUCUUUGAACGCACAUUGCGCCCGCCAGCACUCUGGCGGGCAUGCCUGUCCGAGCGUCAUUUCAACCCUCAGGGCCCCUUCGGGGGACCUGGCGUUGGGGAUCGGCCCGCCCCCGUGCGGCGCCGUCCCCGAAAUAUAGUGGCGGUCUCGCUGCAGCCUCCCCUGCGUAGUAGCACACCUCGCACUGGAGAGCGGCGCGGCCACGCCGUGAAACCCCCAACUUCUGAAUGUUGACCUCGGAUCAGGUAGGAAUACCCGCUGAACUUAAGCAUAUCAAUAAGCGGAGGA
Molecule: unclassified non-coding RNA, 349 nt
Filed under: soil metagenome
Description: partial contains 5.8S ribosomal RNA, internal transcribed spacer 2, and large subunit ribosomal RNA
Rfam family: 5.8S ribosomal RNA (bases 1-120)
Source: RNAcentral